This 669-nucleotide ribosomal RNA is filed under the name Lenzites betulinus. RNAcentral describes it as "eukaryotic LSU rRNA". The stretch from base 251 to 404 matches the Rfam family "5.8S ribosomal RNA". Lineage: Eukaryota; Fungi; Basidiomycota; Agaricomycetes; Polyporales; Polyporaceae. The record is from RNAcentral.
GGAAGUAAAAGUCGUAACAAGGUUUCCGUAGGUGAACCUGCGGAAGGAUCAUUAACGAGUUUUGAGGGGUUGUAGCUGGCCUUCCGAGGCAUGUGCACGCCCUGCUCAUUCCACUCUACACCUGUGCACUUACUGUGGGUCUCAGGCGAGCGUCGGUCGCUUCGCGGCGUCGUCGUUCAACUGGGCUCACGUUUUACUACAAACUAUUAAAGUAUCAGAAUGUCUACUGCGAAUUAACGCAUUUAAAUACAACUUUCAGCAACGGAUCUCUUGGCUCUCGCAUCGAUGAAGAACGCAGCGAAAUGCGAUAAGUAAUGUGAAUUGCAGAAUUCAGUGAAUCAUCGAAUCUUUGAACGCACCUUGCGCUCCUUGGUAUUCCGAGGAGCAUGCCUGUUUGAGUGUCAUGAAAUUCUCAACCUAACGAGUCUUUGCGGGCUCGGUAGGCUUGGACUUGGAGGUUCUUGUCGGCCUAACGGUCGGCUCCUCUUAAAUGCAUUAGCUCGGUUCCUUGCGGAUCGGCUCACGGUGUGAUAAUUGUCUACGCCGCGACCGUUGAAGCGUUUUGGCCGGCUUCUAAUCGUCUCGUUGGAGACACUACUCUUUAUGACCUUCUGACCUCAAAUCAGGUAGGACUACCCGCUGAACUUAAGCAUAUCAAUAAGCGGAGGA